GUCAACAAGCCUGCUGCCUUGUCUCAUAGAUUGCUUAAGAAAUGCAACCUCUCAGCUGAGGCAUGUUGCUGUAUUCAGGUCAUGUUGGACACAGCCGUUGUUCUUCUGGAUUGUCACCCUGAUGGACUCCAGAGAGGGCAUGGAAGCUUCUGCCUGUGAAUUCAAAACCAAAGACAGUCAAGAUCUUGGUGAGAGACAGAAGUCUUUAAAAGUAGACCAAGAGAUCUGAUCUGAAUCUCCUGAGUAACUUGCACCCUUUUGAGAGAGAGGCACGUUA
This 277-nucleotide long non-coding RNA is filed under the name Apteryx owenii (little spotted kiwi). RNAcentral describes it as "lncRNA (ENSAOWG00000011363.1)". The record is from RNAcentral. Lineage: Eukaryota; Metazoa; Chordata; Aves; Apterygiformes; Apterygidae.